GAGUUUGAUCCUGGCUCAGGAUGAACGCUAGCGGCAGGCCUAAUACAUGCAAGUCGAGGGGCAGCACGGGUAGCAAUACUUGGUGGCGACCGGCGCACGGGUGCGUAACACGUAUGCAAUCUACCGUUAACUAAGGGAUAGCCUUCCGAAAGGAAGAUUAAUACCUUAUAACAUUGUGAAGUGGCAUCACUUUAUAAUUAAAGCUCCGGCGGUUAACGAUGAGCAUGCGUUUGAUUAGCUAGUUGGUGAGGUAACGGCUCACCAAGGCGACGAUCAAUAGGGGGGUCUGAGAGGAUGAUCCCCCCACACUGGUACUGAGACACGGACCAGACUCCUACGGGAGGCAGCAGUAAGGAAUAUUGGUCAAUGGAGGCAACUCUGAACCAGCCAUGCCGCGUGCAGGAAUAAGGCCCUAUGGGUCGUAAACUGCUUUUGUGCGGGGAAGAAACCCCUUUUUAGUGUAGAAGGUUGACGGUACCGUAAGAAUAAAGGAUCGGCUAAACUUCGUGCCAGCCGCCGCAGUAAC
RNAcentral lists this ribosomal RNA (526 nucleotides) under uncultured Flavobacterium sp. RNAcentral's name for it is "bacterial SSU rRNA". It matches the Rfam family "Bacterial small subunit ribosomal RNA", at positions 9 to 524 of the family's 1533-position model. The record is from RNAcentral. Lineage: Bacteria; Pseudomonadati; Bacteroidota; Flavobacteriia; Flavobacteriales; Flavobacteriaceae.